AAGGGAGGCGCGAGACACCAAGACUGGUGAUCGAGCAGCGACACCCAUGACAAGUCUAACAGUAAUAGAUAAAUAACAGUAAUAUAUAAAUCAAACAAACAAUAAAUAUUAGAACAGGUUUACGUUAAAGUAAGUCGAGGCGACGUGCAUACCCAAAAGACACCCGAUCCAAGGUGAAACGGAUAACGACUCCGAGCACCGUCUUGUGAGUAACCAUGGCAACGUCAGCGAAAUCUUAUACUGCGGAAUACAGACACUGCCUGAGUUGAGCUUGAAUUCAUGUUUAUCCCGCGAGGGGAAGCCGAUAACUUGGCAUAUUUAUAUUAUUAUAAAAUAGUUUUGUUUGUCGCAGUUAGGGAUACGAGAGUGUGUAAACAAGUGGAAGUAUAGUGGUAAGGUGCUUUGGUGCCGGAGACGUCGUGUGAAGAGGGAAGAGCCUAAGGACCCAACCUGACGUUAACAGUUACUGUGGACUGUGGGUGAAGUCAAGUGUUGAGCUGACAAUGACAAGGGGUGGAGGGUGUCAGCACAUCAAACAGAUGUGGUGACCCGAGACAGGGAAUUUUGAGAUUUGCUCAGUGAAAAGCGAGGUACAAAAAAAUUGGACUUGGUUGAAGAGCGAGUGUUGUGUUUAUGCACAGAGGUAAGCGAAACAAAAUAAGGCUGUUCACUCUAAUCCUUCGAAUUAUUGGAUUUCACAGAAUGUCUAAGUGUCCACACACCAUUUACUUAAUCCCUGUGAAUAAAAAAGCAGGGAUUUCAAAAGAAGAGAUUUUAAAAGAAUUCAACAUUUUGGAUUUGAUUUGGAAGUGUUCUGUAAUAGUGAAAUAUUGAAUAUUAAUUAUCACCAGAUCAAAUUAUUUCAGUAGAAUAUAUGACAUUGCAUAUGCCAAAU
Molecule: non-coding RNA, 895 nt
Organism: Styela clava
Lineage: Eukaryota; Metazoa; Chordata; Ascidiacea; Stolidobranchia; Styelidae
Source: RefSeq, a predicted model, not a curated record